Capsicum annuum is the source of this 2749-nucleotide RNA transcript. It is a transcript of the gene named two-component response regulator ARR14, with no coding region annotated. Lineage: Eukaryota; Viridiplantae; Streptophyta; Magnoliopsida; Solanales; Solanaceae. The record is from RefSeq and is a predicted model, not a curated record. The transcript is spliced from 6 exons.
AAUGUUAUUAGAUGUUGAUGUAAAUACAUUUAUAACAUAUUCAUCAAUUUUUAUGUAUGUCAGAUUAAAUUUACAACAUAUAUAUAUCAUCUAUCACCACUAAAGUAAAGUAUUAGUUUACUUUAUCCAUCGAGAGAUUAGGACAGAUAAUCUCAAUUUCUCAAUUAUCUAAAACCCUAAUUUCACCCUCCAUUAAACUGUAUACUCUCAGCUCAUCUCUGGAUCUGACUAUAGAAUCACUUGUAAAUGGAAGUAUUUCAGUGAAACCAGUGGCAAUUCUGUAAUUUACCUACUCUGUGAAGGUGUUUUUUUGUCAUUUUGGGGUGGUCGUUCAAUGGCAAGUAUGAGUGGCGUCGGUGCCACGUGUAAGUCGGAAGCUACAGUGCUUACUGAUCACUUUCCUGUAGGGUUAAGAGUACUUGUGGUUGAUGAUGAUGUUGUUUGUCUUCGAAUUAUUGAACAAAUGCUUCGUAGAUGCAAGUAUUCAGUCACUACUUGUACCCGAGCUACUGUGGCAUUAAACCUAUUACGUGAAAGGAGGGAGACUUUUGAUAUUGUACUGAGUGAUGUUCAUAUGCCUGAUAUGGAUGGUUUUAAACUUCUUGAGCUUGUUGGAUUGGAAAUGGACCUUCCAGUAAUAAUGAUGUCAGGUGAUGGGAGAACAAACCUCGUCAUGAGGGGAGUUCAACAUGGGGCUUGUGAUUAUUUGAUUAAGCCUAUACGGGACGAGGAGCUAAAGAAUAUCUGGCAGCAUGUUGUUAGGAAAAGAUAUAACUCCAAUAAAGAGCAUGAAUGUUCUGGUAGCUUGGAUGAUAAUGAUCGGUAUAAGCGAGGAAGUGAUGAUGUGGAAUGUGCUUCUUCUGUAGUUGAAGGUGCAGAUGGAGUGAUAAAACCUCAGAAAAAGAAAAGAGAAGCCAAAGAAGAUGACACUGAAGUGGAAAAUGAUGACCCAGGUACCACAAAAAAGCCACGCGUAGUCUGGUCAGUGGAGCUUCAUCAGCAAUUUGUUAGUGCAGUCAACCAACUUGGCAUUGAUAAGGCUGUACCUAAAAGAAUCCUUGAACUGAUGAAUGUUCCUGGUUUGACGAGAGAAAAUGUGGCAAGCCAUCUGCAGAAAUUUAGGCUAUACUUGAAGAGGCUAAGUGGAGUAGUUCAACAACAGGGUGGCAUACCCAGUACCUUUUGUGGGCCAAUGGAACAGAAUUCAGAACUUGUUUCACUAGGGAGAUUUGACAUUCAAGCACUGGCAGCCUCUGGACAAAUUCCUCCUGAAACUUUGACAGCUCUCCAUGCCGAGCUUUUAGGUAGAUCGACAAGUAACUUGGUUUUACCAGCAGUAGAGCAACAGAAUCUCCUACAAGCUUCCUUGCAGCAAGCAAAGUGCAUGCCUGUUGACCAACUUGUGGCUUAUGGUCAGCCUCUGUUGAAAUGCCCUCCCAGCAUUUCUAAUUCUAAACAUCCUUCUCAAUCUAUCUUGUCAGCUGCGGAUGUUCAUUCAGGAUUUGGAUCCCAGCGAGCAAAAAAUAUAUGCAUGGUACCUAGCAGCAAUCCCACUGGGAUAGCUGCUCCGAACAGCAACAUGUUUAUGGCAAUGAUGCAACAUCAGCAACAAUGGCAAAAGCAGCAGCAGCUGGAACUGCGACAUAGGCAAUCUGGACCUCUUGAAUCCAACUAUUCAAUUAAUGUUCAACCUUCUUGCGUAGUAUUGCCCUCUCAGUCGCCUGGUAAUUUCCAAGUGGGAGAUAGUCCUGCUUCCAUGAGCCGUGCCAACAGUCUAAGUAAAUCUUCGGUGGUUGAUUAUGGAGUUCUCUCUCCACAAUCAAAUAAUUCAUCAGGUGUGAUUCAAGUGUUAGACAGGGAACUCAGACCAGAAUGUGGCUCAAACAGGCUCUCAAGUGGAGGUUCCCUCUCUUGUUCAUGCUCGAUAAAUGCUGAUAAUAGUGUUGGUCUGCAAUUUCAUAACUCGAGCUCAGCAUUUGGUUCUUCUAAACAACUUCCAGGCCUUAACCCAAAUCAUUUGGGCUCGCCAGUUCCAUAUAAUAUUAACUCAAGCCAGGUUCUUGAUCAGGGACAUAUAAGAAAUCCUGUGGUUGGUAAAGGUGCCUCCAUUCCCAGUCGCUUUGCAGUAGAUGAGUGUGAAUCGGCAAUGUGCAAUUUGAAUACUGCAAAAAGCUAUCUCGAGGACGCUAAAGUUAAGCAGGAGCCUAAUAUGAAUCUCAUGGAAAAUUGCUAAAGUUGGUCCAGCAAAUUUUCAAAAAUUUCAACCUGGUGAUCUUAUGAGUGUCUUCAGUGACUAGGGUCGUCUUUUGUCCUUGGGAAAGUGUCAAGUUCCCCAUGAAUCAUAACGUUUAGUUCUGCCAGUAAAUCUCUGCAAGAUCCAACUGUGAAGUCUUAUAUUUAUAUGAGGGUUUCACCUAUAGUUUGAAUUGCAGAAAUGUAGGUAAAGGCUUUUUGCCUGUAUAUUUAUCAAUCUAAUAUUUAGGAAAUGAAUGUGGAUGCAGUAUAAUACUUCCUCUGGAAGUAUUUGUUGUUGUGCAUGUAUUCUUCUGCAACUCUUUCCACUACUUACUAGAAAUAAAUUUGUAUUAAGAAUUUCAAUAGAGUUCAAAAUAUCCCCCCUUGAUUGCACCUUCCCCUUGUGAUUGGGCAGUUAUUCAAGAUUUAGUGUUGUGUUGUGUAGUGAAAAAAGAUGUCAAUUAUGAAACUGAAAUGCAUACCAAAUUGUGUUUGUUUUUCCUUUUUGUUUUCA